RNAcentral lists this ribosomal RNA (240 nucleotides) under uncultured bacterium. Its description in RNAcentral is "partial 16S ribosomal RNA". It matches the Rfam family "Bacterial small subunit ribosomal RNA", at positions 94 to 334 of the family's 1533-position model. The record is from RNAcentral.
AGUGGCGGACGGGUGAGUAACGCGUGGGUAACCUGCCUCAUACAGGGGGAUAACAGUUAGAAAUGACUGCUAAUACCGCAUAAGACCACAGCACCGCAUGGUGCAGGGGUAAAAACUCCGGUGGUAUGAGAUGGACCCGCGUCUGAUUAGGUAGUUGGUGGGGUAACGGCUUACCAAGCCGACGAUCAGUAGCCGACCUGAGAGGGUGACCGGCCACAUUGGGACUGAGACACGGCCCAA